CACCUGCAGUCCAGCGUGUGUGAAUGGAACAUGUGUGAACGGCACGUGCAUCUGUGAUCCAGGUUUUGCAGGGGACAUUUGCGACAAACCUGCAUAUUUUCACCAGUGCCAUCCUACCAACUUCAGUGUCUGUAUCACACCUUUCUCCAUCGACACUUUUUUGCGGGGACAUAUAUGUACACGACUUCAAGAACGUCUCUGCAUGCAACUUAACUCUGGCUCCGACUGUAGCCGACCCUAGCGACGGCAUCGUGGAUUGGUGCAAGGGAUAUGCCGCCGUCAUCCCCUACAACGGCACCUGCGGUGAACUCGGACCGUCCUUUAGUGGCAACGUGACCUCCUAUGUACUCCAGUUGUUUGUGCAAUACACCAGAGAUCUCAGGCAGUGCACUGAUGAGAAGGUCACCUUCACCUGUGAGUUUAACAACAACUCCCUCGAGGUCAACCACAACAUCGGCGUUGAAGGCCAG
Molecule: long non-coding RNA, 470 nt
Organism: Haliotis rubra (blacklip abalone)
Lineage: Eukaryota; Metazoa; Mollusca; Gastropoda; Lepetellida; Haliotidae
Exons: 3
Source: RefSeq, a predicted model, not a curated record